This 34788-nucleotide long non-coding RNA is filed under the name Triticum aestivum (bread wheat). RNAcentral describes it as "long non-coding RNA (TAES_LNC012376)". The record is from RNAcentral. Lineage: Eukaryota; Viridiplantae; Streptophyta; Magnoliopsida; Poales; Poaceae.
UUUGUCCCUCGCCGCCGCCACUCUCUCCAAAAUCCCACCUCGGGAUCCUCCCAGAUCCCCUUCUCCUCGGUUUCCUCCUCUACCCAAUCCCGAAGGCACUGCGGUCUCCUCUGCUUCCCUCGUCCUUGUUUGAUCCCAGGGGCAGCCACCGCAUCGCUGUUCCCCUGCCUCGGCCUCGCGAUCCCGCGCCUCCCUCCUACAGCCCAUGCAAGUCACCAGGAGGUGGGUUCCCGUGCUGCACAGGAGCUCCUCGUCGCCCGGAUCCGUUCCCCAGGCCGCCGGACCUUCCUGCAAGCGUCCUCGCCGGUGACCAGCAGGUCCCAACGCCACCCUUUUUUUCUUUUCCUGUCUCCUCUGUUACCUGCUCUCGAUCCCCCUCUGUCUCAUGUCCCUGUCUCUCUUCCCGCCAUGGACAGGUACCAACAAACCGUCAGCCACCAGGAGCUCAAGACGCCGCUACUCCUCGCCGGACCGCUGCCUCCGGCUACCUCCACCUCGCCGGUGAGGCCUCGCCGCCGUGCGCCCCUGAUUUUCUCUCUCUCUCUCUCUCUCUCUUUGGCCGCUCUGACCUCUCAUGAUCUCCCCCUUUUCUCUUUGAACAGAAGUAGGAGCUCCCAUGGCCGCCGCCGCCCUGGCUGCCCCAUAGGAGUUCUCUGCCGCCGGAUCGGGUCGCCUCCACCCGGUUCCUCUCGCGCCGACCGCCCGCGCCGGAGUCCUGCGCCAAGCCGCCGCCGUUGCCUCUGUUUCCCGCCGCUGCACCAUGCUGCAACGAACGCCUGCUCGAUCCAACCGCCCCGCGUUGACCGAUCCACUGGCCUGCGCUAGCCCAGCGAGACCUCCUGCAGCCCAGCACCACCAACCGGGCCUUGGCCCAUGGGUGAGCUGCCCCACCUUCUUGUUGGGCUCGUGAUUCAGAUUCGGCCUGACUAAUGUUUUUUUUCGUGCUGCGAUUUUAACAUUAUCCAGUGUAUUUCAGUUUUGCAGAAAACCCCUCAUAUAUCAUACAUUUAAUAACUCAUAAACCAUGCAUCGGUUUAAAAUGAUAUUAACAUGUAAAAUGCUUAGAAUUUUGUGUAGAUUAAUAAUAUUCCACUUUCAUCCAUGUUUAAAAUGUUUAAAAUGUUGUUUGUUUAAAUUUGCUCAAAUGCCAUGCUAAAAUGCUUUAUUUCAUAACUAAAUAACCGUAACUCUGUUUUAAAUAAACUUUAUAUGCAAAUGGGGUGGAAAAAUGCCUAGUUUAACAUGGUCUAGUUUAUUUUCCUGUUUAACAACCUUAAAAUAUGGUUUAGGGCAGAACAGUACCUAAUCGAAAAUAUGCAUAUGGGGAUUUUCUGAAAUUGUUGUUUGUUGUUCCGGCCCCAUUUAAACUUGCCUAGAUAGUUAGUUUACUUAUGUUUCAUCUCUUGCCAUGUUUAACAACAUUUAAUAUUGUUGUGUACCUAAACAAGAGUGAACUAAAUAACUCGAUGUGGUGUUUUGUCAAUAUGCAACUCAUUGCAUAUUGAGCUCCACUUAAUUUGUAGUAUUGUUUGUUGCAUAAGGCCAUGCCAUGCCUCAUUAAACCGGACAUGCAUCAUACUUGAUUGUGCAUCAUGCCAUGAUUAUGCUUGUGUGUUUACCAUGUUGCUUGCUUCUUUCCGGUUUGCUUCUCUUGUUAGCUUCGGUUUCGUUCCGGAGUUGUGAGGAUUCGUUCGACUACGUCCGUUUGUCUUCUUCGUGGACUCGUUCUUCUUCCUUGCAGGAUCUCAGGCAAGAUGACCAUUACCCUCGAUAUCACUUCUAUCUUUGCUUGCUAGUUGCUUCAUUCUAUCGCUAUGAUGCGCUACCUAUCACUUGUUUACCAUGCCUCCCAUAUUGUCAUGUCAGCCUCUAACCUUUUCACCCUUCCUAGCAAACCAUUGUUUGGCUAUGUUACCGCUUUGCUCAGCCCCUCUUAUAGCGUUGUUAGUUGUAGGUGAAGUUGAAGAUUGCUCCAUGAUGGACAGGAUUAUGUUGGGAUAGCACAAUAUCUCUCAUUUAAUUAAUGCAUCUAUAUACUUGGUAAAGGGUGGAAGACUCGGCCUUAUGCCUGGUGUUUUGUUCCACUCUUGCCGCCUUAGUUUCCGUCAUAUCGGUAUUAUGUUCCCGGAUUUUGCGUUCCUUACACGGUUGGGUGAUUUAUGGGACCCCCUUGACAGUUUGCUUUGAAUAAAACUCCUCCAGCAAGGCCCAACAUUGGUUUUAACAUUUGCCACCUAAGCCUUUUUCCCUUGGGUUCUGCAGACUCAAGGGUCAUCUUUAUUUACCCCCCGGGCCAGUGCUCCUCCGAGUGUUGGUCCAAACUAGAGCACCGUGCGGGACCAUUCCUUGGCAACUUGGAUUACGUCAGUUCCUAUACGCUUCACUUAUCCGGUGUGCCUUGAGAACGAGAUAUGUGCAGCUCCUAUCAGGAUUUGUCGGCACAACUGGGCGGCUUUGCUGGUCUUGUUUUACCAUUGUCGAAAUGUCUUGUAAACCGGGAUUCCGAGUCUGAUCGGGUCUUCCUGGGAGAAGGUAUAUCCUUCGUUGAUCGCAAGAGCUUAUCAUGGGCUAAGUUGGGACACCCCUGCAGGGUAUAAACUUUCGAAAGUCGUGCCUGCGUUUAUAGGCAGAUGGGAAUUUGUUAAUGUCCGGUUGUUAGGACCCCGACUCGAUGCCACAUCGAUCUAGCAUGUAACACCUCAUAUCACUUUGCGGCCUCACGCACGGUUUUCCCACGGGUGUCCUCUUACCUUUGCCCGGGACCGUUUGCGCCUUUUGGCACACGUAUAUGAUAGUGUCGCUAGCAUCCAUAUGGUAAGGAGCCCGGGCUGACAUGGCUAGUCGUAAACCCAAAGUGGCACAGACUUACAGGGACAGGCAUCCAUGACCCAGCAUCGAACGUGUCGGUCAUCAGCAAGUGAAUCCAGGCUGUAGCACUGGGCUAGCAGGACUCCGGUAAAUCGGGCUGUAGCGGGCUAACAGGACUCCGGUAUCCAUCGUGUGACAUUUCCCCGAAGGGACAGAAACAGGAACAAAGAAGGACACAUGCCGGCCAGCCUAAGUGUUCCGGAGCAGUAGCAAGCUACCAAGGCUCAGUGGAGACACUAGGAGACAUUUCCCAGUAAGAGAGGCUACUAAGAAUAAACAACUAGAUAGUCAGAUCCCACACAUACCAAGCAUUUCAAUCAUACACACAAUAUGCUCGAUAUGUGCAAAUACAACAAGGCAUCACAACAUGACUCUACGACACCAGUACUUUAUUUAAGGCUCAGAGAGCCAUACAUAUCAUACACACAAGUACGGGUCACACGACCCAGCAUUCAAGUCAUACAGACAUACAAGCCAACAGCGGAAGUAACUUGUCUGGGUACAGACAACUAGUAAAAUAAAAGAGGCUUGGGAAAGCCUGGCUAUACUACGUGGUCCUUCACAAGCUCAGGAUCACCACCUGGGCCUCGGUAUACUCAUCGAUGUCAACUUCUACGAAGAACCCAUCAGAAGGGGUUGCAGCGUCUUCUGAAAAAUGUAAAUUAAAGCAACAUGAGUACAAAGGUACUCAGCAAGACUUACAUCAGAUCCUACAUACAUGCACAUUAUCAAGAAGGGUUGGUGGGGUUAUUGCAGCAAGCCAGCUUUGACUCUUGGCUAAGCUAUCCUACGAUACACCAACUUGAAAUGGUUUUGCGCACACGAGUACACUACUCACCACUUCAAUACACCACCGAGGAUCCACCUCCGUCAUCCUACGGAAGAACCAUCCUUGGCACUCACGCUUAUCUUGAGAUUUUUAGUAGUAUCCAUUUACUUGUCUAUGAACUGUAUAGGAAACCAAGUAGUCCUUUACCGCGGACGCGGCUAUUCGAAUAGAUAAUGUUAACCCUGCAGGGGUGUACUUCUUCAUACACGCUCUCACCACUUACCGCCGUUUACACGACAUGUACUCGGCAACCUUCAAGCGGAAGCCCAACGUGGGUGUCGGCCACGACCUACCUAAACACCUAAUUCUCUAGUCCAGGUUUAUCGCCUAUCCAGGUUCCAUCCGCAGGGAGUCCGGCCGAGGUUUCCACAUACGGCCCCGAACGAUGUGUACAGGGUUCCCGAGAUACCUAACGGGUAUCCGGUACACCGUGCCACAUACCUACCGCAUCACAGCCCACCGCUAUGGUCAGCGCUGUCCACGGCCUCCAGUAGGCUACAAACACCAGAAAUUACUUGCAACUCCUGGACAGAGGACUAGGGUGAAUAAGAAGCCGAGAGGGUCCAUUGGUUUCAGGCCCAAUGCAUGGUAGUAGAUGAUUCUUAAAUCACACAUACAGAUCUCAGUGCUUAAGGACGGCUUCAAUGAAACAACCCACCAUGUACUCCUACAUGGCCUUUCAUCGAUACCUUUACCAAAUCGUGUUCACCACAUCACUCUCAUUACCGGCAUGAUCAUUUCACUCUAGCCCAUCACCCAGAUGAACCAGACCUGACUCGACUCUAAGCAUAGCAGGCAUAGCAAGGUAGGAACAACACAUACAUAUGGCUCAAUCAACUCCUACACAUGCUAGUGGGUUUCAUCUAGUUACUGUGGCAAUGACAGGUCAUGCAGAGGAAAUGGGUUCAACUACCGUAGCACACAGCAGUUUGGAACGCGUUGUCUUAAUGCAGUAAAAGAGAGCAGAAGCGAGAACAUGGGAUUGUAUCGAUAUGAUCAAAUGGUUGGUUGCUUGCCUGAUGGGUCGAUGCACUGAUAUUGUUCUUCGUUGGGGUAAUCACGAUACUCCUCAAGGGCAGGACCUGCCGCAGAGAGCACCGAUACACAACAUCACCAAACAAUAUGCAGUAAUAUGAUGCAUGCAUGAAACAUGGCAAUAUGAGUGUGUUGGGCUAAUGCAACUAAAACCAGAUGGGUUUGAACCAUUUUGAAUCAAAGAUUCAAGUUUCAAACUCAUACAUGGCCCUUAUAAGGUGCUUUAACUUGUUCUGCAAUAAACAGUAGGUUAGCUUGUUUAAACAUGCAUGAAACUAGUACAGAUGGAUAGAUUGGAUUUUUCUGAUCAUUUUUCAUAUAUAACACUUUGCAUUUGGAGUUAUGGUUGAUUUACUAUGAAUUUUUGAAGUUUGGGGGAUUUUCUGGAAUUUAUAAAUCAUUCUAGAUUUAUUUUAAUUCCAGAAAAGGAUUACUGCGUCAGCAUGAUGUCAUGCUGACCUCAGCAGGUCAAUAGGCCGGUCCAGGUCAAACUGACCAGUGGGUCCCGCAUGUCAGCACAAUUAGUUUAGCUAAAAAUUAAUUAGAACUAAACCGGAUUAGUUAACAGGGCUGGGCCCCACCUGUCAUUGACUCAACAGAGUCAACCAGGGCCCACCCGUGGUCAAAGUCAAGUCGGCUGCACCGGCGUUUAGCCGCCGGCGAGCCCGACGCGGCGGCGGAAGUGCUUUGGGCCGUUCCGGCCACCAAAUGGGUCGCGGAAGGCAUCUAAGUGGAGCUGGGGACAAACCGCAGCUCUUGGUGGGGUCGGGGUGGCCAGAAUCGGCGCCGACGAUGACCUAGGUGGCCGCCGGAGUUCGGGUGGAGGCGAACUCGGGGCCAGGGUGUGUGGUGAGGUGUGGGGAGUGUAUGGUUAGACCCUACGCGACGUGGUGAGUGCGAUGGACACUGAGAGGUGACCGGAGGAUGGCCGGGAGCACGUCGGCGACGAUCUCCGCGGUGGUGCGUGCGGGUGAUCUUCGUGCAGUUGCUACACAGCUCGGGGGCGAGAGAGAAAGGGAAGGGGAGGUAGCUAGGCUCACAGGGCACUCGUGGAGGCAACUGGCGGGGUCGGGGAUGGACUGAUGCGGCGACGGCGUUGCAGGGGAUCUCCGGCGACGGCGGACUCGGGUAGAGUCGGUGCGGUGGACUCGGGCCACACGAGCACGCGGGGCUCGGCUAGCUCGACGAAGAGGAUGGCGGCGGAGCUCCUAGACACGGCGAGACGGAGCACGGACGGCGGGGAGCGCGGCUACGGCGAUGGGGCGGCGGCGGUGGCGUCGGCCAUGGCUGGGGAGCACGAGGGAGAGGAGCUGGGGAGGAGAGGAGAUGUCUGAGGGGUUCGGGGGAGAGGGGGGGAGCGAUCUCCAUCAUCAGCUGGACGAGGGGAGCGGCGAGGCGGCGACCAGGUGUGUGGCACCCAUGCGGUGCUCGCCGCCGAGCACCUGCCUGCCUGCCUGGCCGAGCCAAGCAGCUCGCUGGCGCGGCAGCUGGGCUGGGCCGGCAGGUGGGCCGGUUAGUAGGCGCUAGGUAAGGUUUUCUUCCUAUUUUCCUGUUUCUGCUUUAUUCUGUAAGUUUGUGGACUUAUUAAAAAUACCUAGACAACUCCUAAAUUCCCCAAACUGCUCCUGGUCCUUAGUUGGAAUAUUUACAGCAUGGAACAUUUUAGUUUGGAAAUAUUUGAGCAUUCAAAAUAAUUUUAUAUAAUUUAAAUGCCCAAACUCAAAUACUUAUGAGUUAAUUCAAAGACCUUAGGAUGACCUAGAAAACUAUGCAUCACUUUUGGCAGAGGUUCUGAACCAAGACAAAAAUGAUGGACAUUUUGGAAGGGCAUUUCAGGUUCAUUGAAAAUAUUUUUAGUAAACCCUAGUUGGAUUCAGAGGGGGCUGGGGGUUCUGUCAUCCCCAUUUCAAGUUUCUGAUGAAAGAAUAGACAUGAUGCAACACUCUAAUGCAUGAACUAGCUAGGGUGUGACAACUCACCCCCACUCAAAAGAAUCUCGUCCCGAGAUUUAGGUUCCUCCGGAAAGAAGGCGGGGUACUCAAGUCGAAGACGAUCCUCCCUUUCCCAAGUUGCUUCCUUCUCAGAAUGGUGCGACCAUUGAACCUUGAGAAACUUGAUAUUAUGACGUUGAGUGGUACGCUCGGCUUGAUCGAGGAUACGAACGGGGUACUCUCGAUACGUGAGGUUAUCUUGAAGAUCAAGCGUUUCGUGGUCCACUGCACGGAUAGGAUCCGAGAAGCAACGCCUGAGUUGAGAAACGUGGAAGACAUCAUGGACUCUGGAAAGAUGCGGAGGUAAUUCCAAUUGGUAGGCAACUUCUCCUCGUUUAGCGAGAAUGCGAAAGGGUCCAAUGUAGCGAGGAGCCAAUUUGCCUUUGAUACCGAAGCGAUGGGUUCCCUUCAGAGGAGUAACCCGAAGGUAAGCCUUCUCGUCAACCUCAAAGGUCAUAGCCUUAUGUUUUCGGUCGUAUUGACUCUUUUGACGAGAUUGGGCUGUUUUCAACUUUUCAUGAACAAUGCGAACUUGCUCUUCUGCUUCCUGGAUCAUGUCUGGGCCAAAGAAUUGUCUUUCCCCGGUUUCUGACCAGUUAAGAGGCGUUCGACACCUUCGUCCAUAGAGAACUUCAAAAGGGGCUUUACCCAAGCUAGAUUGAUAGCUGUUGUUAUAAGCAAAUUCGGCAAAUGGAAGGCAUUUCUCCCAAUCCAUUCCGAAUGAGAUAACCGAAGCUCGAAGCAUGUCUUCUAGAAUCUGGUUGACACGUUCUACUUGACCACUUGAUUGAGGGUGAAAAGCAGUGCUAAAAGAAAGGCGGGUUCCCAUAGCAUUUUGGAAACUUUCCCAAAAUAGAGAGGUGAAGAGACUUCCUCGAUCGGAGUUAAUUUCCAGUGGAACACCAUGGAGAGACAUUAUUCGGAAGAUGUACAAGUCUACUAAUUGACUAGCGGUUAUACUCUCGCGAACAGGUAAGAAAUGGGCUACUUUGGAAAGACGAUCGACAACGACGAAGAUAGCGUUAUUCCCUCUCUUGGUCCUGGGAAAACCGGUAAUGAAAUCCAUACCAAUUUUAUCCCAUUUCCAUUCGGGAAUAGCUAAGGGUUGAAGGGUGCCAGUAGGCCGCUGAUGCUCUGCUUUUACACGGCGACAGACGUCGCAGCUAGCAACAAACUGAGCAAUGUCUCUCUUCAUCCUAGUCCACCAGAACCUCUGGCGUAGGUCCUGAUACAUCUUAGUACUACCGGGAUGAAUGGUGAGAGGAGAUUCAUGAGCUUCCUUUAGGAUCAAUAGCCUCAGGUUUCGCACUUUGGGAACCACUAGACGGUUCCCGAAGUAUAUGACUCCUUGAUCAUCAAUGGAGAAACAAUUCGCAACUCCUUUCUUGAUGUUUCUUUUGAUGCGGGAAAUCCUCGGAUCUACCUUCUGUGCUUUGAUGAUCUGAUCCGUAAGGGUAGGUUUCGCCACCAAGGUGGAAAGGAAUCCUUGAGGAACAAUGUGAAGGUUAAGCUUCCGAAAUUCCUCAUGGAGAAGCGGUUGACUUUGUUGUAACAUCAGAUUGUUACAAUAAGAUUUACGACUUAGUGCAUCAGCCAUGACGUUGGCCUUUCCUGGGGUGUAAGUUAUUCCUAAGUCGAAAUCUAUGAUCAACUCAACCCAACGUCUUUGCCUGAGAUUCAAAUCCGGUUGGGUGAAGAUGUACUUCAGACUUUGGUGAUCGGUGAAGAUUUCGCAACAAUUACCGAGGAGGUAAUGUCGCCAGGUUUUAAGUGCAUAGACUAUAGCUACAAGCUCUAGAUCAUGAGUAGGAUAAUUCUCCUCAUGUGGGUGUAAUUGCCGUGAAGCAUAAGCAAUUACGUGACGAUCUUGCAUUCUAGUCCUUGUCGCGAGGCGUCGCAAUAGAUAACAAAGUCCUUAGAGAAAUCUGGUGGUACCAAUACGGGAGCAGAUGUCAGGCGUCUUUUCAGUUCCUGAAAGCUGUGCUCACAUUGUGGAGUCCACUCGAACUUUUUAUCUUUCUUGAGGAGUUCAGUUAGAGGUUUGGCAACUUUGGAGAAGUUCUCGACAAAGCGGCGACAAUAGCUCGCUAAGCCAAGGAAACUCCGAACUUGCUUGACCAAUUCAGGUGGAGUCCAAUUAAGGACGGCUCGAACUCGCUCGGGGUUAAUAGCAAUACCUUUACCAAAAAUUACAUGUCCUAGAUAGGUCACUUCUGGCAACCAAAAUUCACAUUUAGAGAACUUGGCAUAAAGGCGAUGCUCUCGAAGUUUCAUCAACACUAGCCUUAGAUGUUCGGCAUGUUCUUCCUCGUUCUUGGAGUAGAUGAGUAUAUCAUUGAGGUAGACCACGACGAAUUUAUCCAAAUACUCCAUGAAGAUUGAGUUCAUUAACCGAGAAAAGGUGGCUGGGGCGUUGGUUAGACCGAAGGACAUGACGGUGUACUCGUAUUGGCCAUAACGAGUAACAAAGGCCGUUUUAGGAAUGUCCCCGUUCCGGAUUUUGAUUUGAUGGUAGCCUAAUCUCAAAUCCAUUUUAGAGAAGACUGAGGAUCCAGCGAGCUGAUCAUACAGGUCGUUGAUCCUGGGGAGUGGAUACUUGUUCUUGAUUGUGACGAGGUUGACUGGUCGAUAAUCUACAACCAUCCGGUCCGUACCAUCCUUCUUCUUGACGAAGAGGACGGGGCAAGCCCAUGGAGACGAACUAGGUCGGAUGAAACCCUUUUUCAAGGACUCAUCGAGUUGUUUCUUAAGCUCGGCUAGUUCUAGUGGUGCCAUCUUAUAGGGUCUUCUAGCAAUCGGGACAGUUCCUGGAAUGAGAUCUAUCACGAACUCAACAUCUCUGUCAGGUGGAACACCUGGCAAUUCCUCUGGGAAGACAUCUGAGAAGUCACGGACUACCGGAAUGUCUUCAAGGUCUGGCAACGGACUGGCAUUAAGAGAAUAUAGCUGUCGCUUAGCUACUCGGGUCAAGACAUUGACUAUCUUUCCCGAAGGAUGUGUGAGUUGAACAGUCCUAGAGAAACAAUCAAUUUUAGCAUGAUGGGCUGACAUCCAGUCCAUGCCCAAAAUGAUAUUAAUAUCCGAAGAUUUGAGAGCUAUCAAAGAUGCGAGAAAAACAAGUCUGUCGACUUGAAUUUCAUUCCCAUGGCUUACUCUAGAAGUUUGCCAUUUGGAUCCCGGGGUUUGAAUUACCAUAGAGGUGGGCAUCUCACAGAAUGUGGUGUUAUGCAGACGAGCAUAGCUCUCGGAUAUAAAUGAAUGAGAUGCUCCUGUAUCGAAAAGAACAGAUGCCAGGUGGCAAUUAACAAGGAGCGUACCAAGAACGACGUUGGGAUCCUCUUGAGCUUCUUCGGCAGAGAUACAGUUGACAUGGCCACGUGCAGCGGUGGCCGGCUUGGCGUAGAACGCUUUCCCUGUCGACUUGCCACGGCCAACAGCUUUUCCAGAUUGGUUGGGGUUGGUCUGGGGACACUCGCGCAGAUAGUGGCCCGGUUCCCCACAUUUAAAGCAAGUCACAGAGCUGGUACGUGGAGGAGCAUUGUUGGUUGGACCACCAUAGGGCUUGGCUGGUGUAAACUAUUGGGCGGGGCGAGGCAAUUGAAAGGAUGGCCUCGGUGUGAACCUGGGUGGCAGGGCAGUGUUAGGCACCCACACGCGGCGCUUCUGAGGACCAGCACCGGAUGAAGAACCCAUGUCACGGCCAUGCUUGCGUGUUGCUUCAAAAUCGGUCUGACCAGACUCAGCACUGAUGGCUUUGUUAACAAGCUUCUGAAAAGAUGUGCACUCAUGCAGACGGAGAUCGCGGCGAAGCUCAGGGCUAAGUCCCUUACGGAACCUUGCUUGCUUCUUGGCAUCAGUAGAGACUUCCUCAGUUGCAUAUCGUGCAACGUUACCGAACUCCCUGUUGUAAGCAUCCAUAGAAAGUCGACCUUGAGUGAAACUGCAGAACUCCUCACGUUUACGGUCCAUGAGACCCUCCGGAAUGUGAUGAUCAUGGAAAGCCUCGCUGAAUUCAGCCCAAGUAGUGACAUGGCCCGCUGGGCGCAUAGCUCCAUAGUUCUCCCACCAUAGACUGGCGGGGCCUUCAAGAUGAUAUGCAGCAAAGGUGACCUUAUCAGCCUCAGCUACUAGCGCAGAACGCAGUUUGUGAGUAAUACUGCGAAGCCAGUCAUCGGCGUCAAGAGGCUCGACGGAGUGGUGGAAAGUGGGUGGAUGUAACUUGAUGAAAUCACUGAGUGACACCAAGUUAUUCCUCUGAUGGUGUGUUGUGUUUUGCUCGAUGCGCUCCAACAAACGGUUAGUCUCCCGCUUGUUUCUCUCGACUUCCAGCAUAACUUCGGCCAGAGAGGGAGGGUGAGGCAGAUUUGUUCCCCCAACUCUGCUGCCUUCGGCCUGCUCUGGGGGAGUAGGGUUGGUGCGGGUGUUAACCAUCCUAGGAAAACAAAGCAAUGGUUUAGUCCAGGAUGAUAGGAUUUUGACAUAGAAAUGUAGAAUGUAAUGGAUAACUUGGAAUGUAAGAUGAUCAUCCGUAUGACAUGGUAGAUACAGAAACUACUUCUUUUAUUCCAUCGUCAUACACACCAUACAAGGUUUAGUAUAGAACCAAACAAAGUACUGCUAUGGUGAAAUUAGGAUUACAUCUCAUCGGAGGCAUUCCGAGCUCCUAUACAUUUUUUUUCUACAUCUUCGGAAGGCGGUACAAACUAAGGCAUAUCCCACGAGUCACGCAGGACGGUGGACGAUAUAGCUAGUACGACACUAGUGAUACUACUACUAACUCAGACAGCUCCGUAGUAGUCUUCAUAGAAGUCACCUCCAUAGCCUGGAAGCUCAACGUGAUCAUCCGGAAAUAGUCGGUCCCGUGGAGCUUGUGGACCAUAGGGGCUAGGAUGAGGUCUUGGGCCAAUAAACGGUGGCCUACGGGGACCACGAGGUCGGGUGAUGCCUCCUACAUCAUGCCAAUCCAUCACGUCUGGCAGAGCAGAUCUCACAGGAUAGAGAUCUCGCAUAUCCAUAUAUCCAGCUUGCACAGUCGGUGCAAACCGAGUCAAAGUGGCCCAAUGAUCAGCAUGGGUAUUGAAAAGCUCUAACCUCAAGGCCCGAUUUUCACGGUCCUUGUCUUCAAGCAACUGUGCAGUGGUGUGGGUCCGUGAAUCCUCCUGGGUGGAGUCAGCAUAGAUAGCCUGGAGAUACCCUUGUGCUCCUGUAAGUGAUGCUGGCAUAUACCGGAAAUCAGAGUCCCGAAAUAGGCCAGUCCUGACUCGCAUGAUGGUCAUCAUAGAGUAGGCAGCAUCCUGCACAGCCAUCUCAAUAGUAACCCCGAGUCCAUAGGAGCAGUGAAGGGGCUCGGUAGAUCCAGGAUAAGAUGGAAAUAUCCUGACAGUGCAAAGAUAUUGACUUUGAUUAAAGUCUCGGAAUUGCUCUUCAACCGUGUACUCAGGAUACCAACGGUAUCCAGCCUCGGUCAUUACCCUGACCAACAUAGCAGUAUGGCCGGGUACAUCUAGACAUCGAGUCAAACGAACCACUUGAUUCUGAGGACGGGACGCCAUCUGGAACAUGAUAAACACAAGACAUUAAAAUUCCUAGCAAAAAUUGGAUAGCAUAACGGCUGUAAAUGCUCAAAAAGGAUUUUGAGGCAUUUGACAAAGAAUUGCAUAGACACUCAACAACAUCAUAUCAAAGUUCUGGGUCCAUCUUAGCAACAUAAUGGGAUAGUAGAACUGAACUAGGCUUGUAUGCAUCAAACCUAUAAGGUACUACUGAUUAGUAACACGUGAAGUUGAUAGAGAGGAGAGAUCCUAGUCCUUAACCCCCGGUAGAAGAAUAGACUGACUCAGAUCAGAAUGUCAUGAGAUAGAGGAGUAAAAAGAGCCUUACGUUCCAUCCCACAAUCAAUUCCCCUAUAUAUAACUAAAGAAUUUCUAGACUCAACAUCGACCAGUUUGGCUUGGAGAACCUACAGGCAGUCCGGCUCUGAUGCCAACGCUGUCAGGACCCCGACUCGAUGCCACAUCGAUCUAGCAUGUGACACCUCAUAUCACUUUGCGGCCUCACGCACGGUUUUCCCACGGGUGUCGUCUUACCUUUGCCCGGGACCGUUUGCACCUUUUGGCACACGUAUAUGAUAGUGUCGCUAGCAUCCAUAUGGUAAGGAUCCCGGGCUGACAUGGCUAGUCGUAAACCCAAAGUGGCACAGACUUACAGGGACAGGCAUCCAUGACCCAGCAUCGAACGUGUCGGUCAUCAGCAAGUGAAUCCGGGCUGUAGCACUGGGCUGGUAGGACUCUGGUAAACCGGGUUGUAGCGGGCUAACAGGACUCCGGUAUCCAUCGCGUGACAUUUCCCCGAAGGGACAGACACAGGAACGAAGAAGGACACAUGCCGGCCAGCCUAAGUGUUCCGGAGCAGUAGCAAGCUACCAAGGCUCAGUGGAGACACUAGGAGACAUUUCCCAGUAAGAGAGGCUACUAAGAAUAAACAACUAGAUAGUCAGAUCCCACACAUACCAAGCAUUUCAAUCAUACACACAAUAUGCUCGAUAUGUGCAAAUACAACAAGGCAUCACAACAUGACUCUACGACACCAGUACUUUAUUUAAGGCUCAGAGAGCCAUACAUAUCAUACACACAAGUACAGGUCACACGACCUAGCAUUCAAGUCAUACAGACAUAGAAGCCAACAGCGGAAGUAACUUGUCUGGGUACAGACAACUAGUAAAAUAAAAGAGGCUUGGGAAAGCCUGGCUAUACUACGUGGUCCUUCACAAGCUCAGGAUCACCACCUGGGCCUCGGUCUACUCAUCGAUGUCAACGUCUACGAAGAACCCAUCAGAAGGGGUUGCAGCGUCUUCUGAAAAAUGUAAAUUAAAGCAACAUGAGUACAAAGGUACUCAGCAAGACUUACAUCAGAUCCUACAUACAUGCACAUUAUCAAGAAGGGUUGGUGGGGUUAUUGCAGCAAGCCAGCUUUGACUCUUGGCUAAGCUAUCCUACGAUACACCAACUUGAAAUGGCUUUGCGCACACGAGUCCACUACUCACCACUUCAAUACACCACCGAGGAUCCACCUCCGUCAUCCUACGGAAGAACCAUCCUCGGCACUCACGCUUAUCUUGAGAUUUUUAGUAGUAUCCAUUUACUUGUCUAUGAACUGUAUAGGCAACCAAGUAGUCCUUUACCGCGGACGCGGCUAUUCGAAUAGAUAAUGUUAACCCUGCAGGGGUGUACUUCUUCAUACACGCUCUCACCACUUACCGCCGUUUACACAACAUGUACUCGGCAACCUUCAAGCGGAAGCCCAACGUGGGUGUCGGCCACGACCUACCUAAACACCUAAGUCUCUAGUCCAGGUUUAUCGCCUAUCCAGGUUCCAUCCGCAGGGAGUCCAGCCGAGGUUUCCACAUACGGCCCUGAACGAUGUGUACAGGGUUCCCGAGAUACCUAACGGGUAUCUGGUACACCGUGCCAUGUACCUACCGCAUCACAGCCCACCCCUACGGUCAGCGCUGUCCACGGCCUCCAGUAGGCUACAAACACCAGAAACUACUUGCAACUCCUAGACAGAGGACUAGGGUGAAUAAGAAGCCAAGAGGGUCCAUUGGUUUCGGGCCCAAUGCAUGGUAGUAGCUGAUUCUUAAAUCACACAUACAGAUCUCAGUGCUUAAGGACGGCUUCAAUGAAACAACCCACCAUGUACUCCUACAUGGCCUUUCAUCGAUACCUUUACCAAAUCGUGUUCACCACAUCACUCUCAUUACCGGCAUGAUCAUUUCACUCUAGCCCAUCACCCAGAUGAACCAGACCUGACUCGACUCUAAGCAUAGCAGGCAUAGCAAGGUAGGAACAACACAUACAUAUGGCUCAAUCAACUCCUACACAUGCUAGUGGGUUUCAUCUAGUUACUAUGGCAAUGACAGGUCAUGCAGAGGAAAUGGGUUCAACUACCGUAGCACACAGCAGUUUGAAACGUGUUGUCUUAAUGCAGUAAAAGAGAGCAUAAGGAGAACAUGGGAUUGUAUCGAUAUGAUUAAAUGGUUGGUUGCUUGCCUGAUGGGUCGAUGCACUGAUAUUGUUCUUCGUUGGGGUAAUCAUGAUACUCCUCAGGGGCAGGACCUGCCGCAGAGAGCACCGAUACACAACAUCACCAAACAGUAUGCAGCAAUAUGAUGCAUGCAUGAAACAUGGCAAUAUGAGUGUGUUGGGCGAAUGCAACUAAAACCAGAUGGGUUUGAACCAUUUUGAAUCAAAGAUUCAAGUUUCAAACUCAUACAUGGCCCUUAUAAGGUGCUUUAACUUGUUCUGCAAUAAACAGUAGGUUAGCUUGUUUAAACAUGCAUGAAACUUGUACAGGUGGAUAGAUUGGAUUUUUCUGAUCAUUUUUCAUAUAUAACACUUUGCAUUUGGAGUUAUGGUUGAUUUACUAUGAAUUUUUGAAGUUUGGGGGAUUUUCUGGAAUUUAUAAAUCAUUCUAGAUUUAUUUUAAUUCCAGAAAAGGAUUACUGCGUCAGCAUGAUGUCAUGCUGACCUCAGCAGGUCAACAGGCCGGUCCAGGUCAAACUGACCAGUGGGUCCCGCAUGUCAGCACAAUUAGUUUAGCUAAAAAUUAAUUAGAACUAAACCGGAUUAGUUAACAGGGCUGGGGGUUCUGUCAUCCCCAUUUCAAGUUUCUGAUGGACAUUUUGGAAGGGCAUUUCAGGUUCAUUGAAAAUAUUUUUAGUAAACCCUAGUUGGAUUCAGAGGGGGCUGGGGGUUCUGUCAUCCCCAUUUCAAGUUUCUGAUGAAAGAAUAGACAUGAUGCAACACUCUAAUGCAUGAACUAGCUAGGGUGUGACACCGGUUGUAGAUAACUUGACACCAGAUCCGAAUUAAAACGCAUCAACCGCGUGUGUAGCCGUGAUGGUCUCUUUUCGGUGGAGUCCGGGAACUGAACACGGUUUUGGGUUAUGUUUGACGUAAGUAGGAGUUCAGGAUCACUUCUUGAUCAUUGCUAGCUCCACGACCGUUCCAUUUGCUCUCUUCUCGCUCUUAUUUGCGUAUGUUAGCCACCAUAUCUUUCUUAGUCGCUGUUGCAACCUCACCACUUUACCCCUUCCUUUCCCUUUAAGCUUUGCUAGUCUUGAUACCCAUGGUAAUGGGAUUGCUGAGUCCUCGUGGCUCACAGAUUACUACAACAACAGUUGCAGGUACAGGUUAUGCGAUGAUCAUGACGCAAGAGCGAUGCUUGCUUGUUUUGGAGUUCUUCUUCUGCUUCUUCUUUGAUCAGGAGAUAGGUUCCAGGUCGGCAGCCUGGGCUAGCAGGGUGGAUGUCGUUUGAGUUUUUGUUUGUGAUUCAUCCGUAGUCGGAUGAUGCUCUUAUGUAUUGUGAUGUUGUAUUCGUGUGGCAUUGUAUACCUCUUGUAUGUAUCCCCAUCUAUUAUGUAAUGUUGAUGUAAUGCUAUCCACCUUGCAAAAGUGUUUCAAUAUGCGGUUCUAUCCUUGGUGGGACCUUCUAGUCUCUUUAGGAUAGUAUCGCAUAUUGGGCGUGACAUUAUGUUGUUGUCCUUUGGUGCCCAUCAUAUGAGCGCGCGCGUGGAUCACACCAUAGGGUUAGUUGUAUGUUGAUAGGACUAUGUAUUGGAGGGCUAGAAUGACAGAAGCUUCAACCUAGCAUAGAAAUUGAUGCAUACGGGAUUGAAGGGGGACCAAUAUAUCUUAAUGUUAUGGUUAGGUUUUACCUUAAUGAACGUUAGUAGUUGCGGAUGCUUGCUAAUAGUUCCAAUCAUAAGUGCAUAGAAUUCCAAGUCAGGGAUGACAUGCUAGCAGUGGCCUCUCCCACAUAAAACUUGCUAUCGGUCUAGUGACAUAGUCAAUUGCUUAGGGACAAUUCCACAACUCCUACCACCACUUUUCCACACUCGCUAGAUUUACUUUAUUGCAUAUUUAUCUAAAGAUCCCCUACUUUUUAUUUAUGUGUUCUUUAUUAUCUUGCAAACCUAUCAUAUCACACCUACAAAGUACCUCUAGUUUCAUACUUGUUCUAGGUAAAGCGAACGUCAAGCGUGCGUAGAGUCGUAUCAGUGGCCGAUAGGACUUGAGAGAGUAUUUGUUCUACCUUUAGCUCCUCGUUGGGUUUGACACUCUUACUUAUCGAAAGAGGCUACAACUAUCCCGUAUACUUGCGGGUCAUCAGGUUGUCAGUAUUUGCAGGUUGUGAAUUGUGUUUUGUGUUGUGUAUUUUGAGAGUACUUUCAGAUAUGAAUUUCUUUUGAAUUUCAAAUUUGCAAUAUUGAGCAUAUGAAGUAUUUUAUGAAUUCUAGAGAUCUAUUUUUAGCACUUAAAAAAUGUAGUUUCAUAGGAGUAUAAAAGUGCAGACAAUGUGAUUCUCAGAGAAGAAACUGCAAGUUUCAGUUUAAGAUAAGAAAUUGCAAGUUCAGUUUUAGAUAAGAAACUGCAACUUUCAGAGGCAGAGCAUUUAUAUUAACACGGCCUUUUCAAACAAGGUUAACAUCAUGUUGGAAGUUUUAUUCAUGGUCGAAAAUGGAACUACCAGCCAGUUAACAUCAUGCUGAUCAACAUUCAUGCAUAGCACAUCUUCAUAUGAUGCACAGUCAAAAAGAUAUGCUAUUUUCAAAAUGCCAACACAAUGUCGAGUGUGCGAAACAUAGAGAAAACGAGGGACGAAGUUUUGGCAAGUGUUGGACGUGGUGUGCAUAGAUGAUAGUGGGGACCCACAUGUCAAUAUAGGCAGAGGCAAAAAAAUUGGAGAUAUUUUCCCUGCACAGGUGGAAUCGAACCCGGGCGGAACAGCUGUCGGGUAGUGUCACUUGGCCACUAGGCUAGUUCAGUAGUUUCGUUAAUAAUAAGGCAGUUCCUCAGGUAGUCGGAUCCCCUCCUGCGCCUUUGUGCACUCGCCGCGACGCCGCUGUCUACCAUUGUGAACAUGCUGAACAAACGAGAGGAAUCUAGAGAGGACUAUACGUGGAGAGGCGGACAGUCGGGACCCAUCAGGUCUAUGGCCGUAGGCAAGCAAGUGCCUCAUCGAAAAAAUACUUCCUCCUAAUGCUAUACUGACAUUGGGGCCAAAUCUGCACCUAAGAGCAAUACCAGGAGUAUACCAGCUGCUGAUAAGAACAAGGCCCCAGUGCCUGAAGUUGCUGCUGAGGAAGAUGAAGAAGGACAACUCCUAAAGAAGCUCAAACCCAAGAUUCUAGACCACAAUGAUGCUCAUCCAGUGGCUGAAAAUAUGAAGCUAAGGAAGGAUGCAGGGCUCAGGCAAUGGAGAUUGUCUGAUCCAUACGCAAUUAGGAGGAGAACUGUUGUAGAUUGCAGGUUCCACACUAAGGAACAGCAGGACUUCUAUGAGAAUGUGUUGUUGGAUAAGAAGCCCAUAGUCUAUGACAUGAGGUGGGUGGACUGGAAAUACAUGAAGGCCAAUGAGGAUCAUUACCCAGGAGUGUAUGAUAGCUUUAAGGCUUGUGGAGUUGAUGAGUUUGUUGGACAGAAGUUCACAAACUGGAAUGAUGAGCUAGUUAUGCAAUUCUACUCCACAGCUCAUUUUUAUCCUGAUGGCAGGAUUGUCUGGAUGUCUGAAGGUACAAGGUACCAAUCAACUAUUGAGGAAUGGGCCAAUUUGAUUAAUGCCCCGGAGGAGAAGGAAGAUGACUUGGAUGUCUACUCCAAGAAGAAGAAGGAUCACAAUUCCAUGUCUCAUAUGUACAAGGAGAUCCCAGACAAGGCCCUUGAAACUUUCAAGUUUGGGUCUGUCCACUUUCUUCUGCUAGGGCUACCAAUAAUCAACUGGAUUCUUAGGCACACUCUUUUGCCCAAGUCAGGUGACCACAACAUGAUCAGAGUGCAUGCAAUCAAUAUGCUUCACUUUUUUUAUGUGCCACAGAGAUUCAAGGUCAUGAGCCUCAUAGUUGAGACUAUCAAGAGGAUAGUAGCAAACCAAAAGAGAAGUUGUGGAUAUGCCCCACAAAUCCAGGAGCUGAUCAACUCAAAGAUGGGCACAAGAAAGUAUCUGUUGGAUAAGGAACACUUUGUUCUCUAUCCAGACUUUGAGGACAAUCAAGUUGUCAUGAAUGAGGAUGACCCAUCAUCAGUGCAAGCUCAAGAGAAGAAGGAGAAAACAAAGAAAGAGAAGGCUGCCAAGAUGCCAACUCUAGAGGAGGCAUCUGAAUACUUUUUGAAGAGCAAGCAGGACCAACUUGGUUACUUGAUAGCAUCAACUCUAAGGAUUGAGAAGGGGUUGGCCACCCUAACUCAAAACCAGGAGAGCCUGGAAAGAAUCAUGGAACAAAAAUUCUAUGAUUUAGAUGUCAAAGUAACUGAGAUUCAGUCAGUUGUGGAGCAGCUAUAGGAUGACAUGCAGGAGAGGAAGGGCAGGACAACUACUGAUGCAUUUGCCAGAGUGCCUCGAGCUCAGAGAUCAGCUGCAGAGCCAGUGACAGACGCCAGAGCCACUUCAUCUGCACCAGCAACAGCUCCAGUGCAACCAGCUCCAGCACCAACUCCUUCAGCUCCAUCCACAUCAACUUAAGUCUUCGUCCAAGGAGCCAUCUCUACACCACCAACUGAAGACCAAGCCUGAGAGACGAUAUAGUACUAUGCAUUUUCUAGGAACUUUUUGGUAACUUGUUGCCAAAGGGGGAGAAAAAUGUAUAGAUCAUAGGCUUCGAGAGAGAGAGAGUUUGCUUUUGUUCUCUCUUGUCUUCUUGGUUGAACUUUGUUUCCUUUUGCUUGCUUGAGAUACUAUGCUAUUAUCUGUGAGACAUUGAUGAUCAUGUGUUUGAUCAUAAGCUACACUUAUGCUUGUUAGAUGAUAUUAUCUUAUUUAUCCUUAUAUGAUCAUCCACUUUGCUUGGUGAUGAGUGCAUGUAUUCAAUCUUUAUUAUUUUGAGCGCUCCACCAAGAUGUAUGUGACAUGGAAGAGUAACCCAUGAGCCUAAUUCCUUGUGCAUUUGCAGUCCAAAGCAAAUCUUAAACUAUGCACAAAUUUAGGGGGAGCUCUUGCUUAUCACAUACUUCUCAAAGCGACGAUGUUUUUCAAUCUUAUUAUCAUUUGUCGAAGCUUUGAUCUAUAUGUUGUCAUCAAUUACCAAAAAGGGGGAGAUUGAAAGUGCAACUAUCCCUAGGUGGUUUUGGUAAUUCAUAUCAACAUAUAGCUCAUUGAGCUAAUACUAUUCCAAGACUAAUAUUUCAGGAAAGCUCAAUGAAUGGCAUGGCAUGGAUGAUGAAAGUGGAUCCCUCAAAAUAUUAAGGACAAAAGGAUUGGCUCAAGCUCAAAAGCUCAAGACUCUACAUUUUAUAUUUUAGUGAUCCAAGAUCACAUUGAGUCUAUAGGAAAAGCCAAUACUAUCAAGGAGGGAUGAGGUGUUGCUUAAUGAGCCUCUUGCUUCAAGUGCUUAGUGAUAUGCUCCAAAAACCCUCAACUACUUUCUCAUAUCCACAUAUGACCUAAACCUAAAGUCAAAAUUGGUCCCACCGAUUCUUUCUAUCCGGCGCCACCGAGUUCAAAUGUCAUAGCCACUGCCACAAACCCUAGGCAAAUCGGUCUCACCGAUAGGGAUCUCGGUCUCACCGAGAUGGGAUUGUAAUCUCUCUGUUUCCCUUCGUAACGUUUCGGUCUAACUGAAGUGAGCGAUCGGUCCCACCGAGAUUGCAAUGCAAACUCUCUAUUGCCCUUUCGUAACAUUUCGGUCUCACCGAAAAGAGCGAAUCGGUCCCACCGAGUUUACCUGACCAACUCUCUGGUUAGCUAAUUACCAAAAUCGGUCUCACCGAGUUUGUGUAAUCGGUCUCACCGAGAUUACGUUAUGCCCUAACCCUAAUCAUAUCGGUCCCAUCGAAUUGCAUGUCGGUCCCACCGAAAUCACUAACGGUCACUAGGUUUACUAAAUCGGUCUGACCGAGUUUGUUGAUUCGGUCCCACCGAGAUUGGUAAAUUGUGUGUAACGGUUAGAUUUUGUGUGGAGGCUAUAGAUACCCCUCCACCUCCUCUUCAUUCGUGGAGAGAGCCAUCAGAACAAACCUACACUUUGAACUUACCAUUUUUGAGAGAGAACUACCUAUUCAUGUGUUGAGGCCAAGAUAUUCCAUUCCUACCAUAUGAAUCUCGAUCUCUAGCCUUCCCAAUGUUGCUUUCCACUCAAAUCUUCUUUCCACCAGAUCCAAAUCCUAUGAGAGAGAGUUGAGUGUUGGGGAGACUAUCAUUUGAAGCACAAGAGCAAGGAGUUCAUCAUCAAUGCACCAUUUGUUACUUCUUGGAGAGUGGUGUCUCCUAGAUUGGCUAGGUGUCACUUGGGAGCCUCCGACAAGAUUAUGGAGUUGAACCAAGGAGUUUGUAAGGGCAAGGAGAUCGCCUACUUCGUGAAGAUCUACCGCUAGUGAGGCAAGUCCUUCAUGGGCGACGGCCAUGGUGGGAUAGACAAGGUUGCUUCUUCGUGGACCCUUCUUGGGUGGAGCCCUCCAUGGACUCGCGCAACCAUUACCCUUCGUGGGUUGAAGUCUUCAUCAACGUGGAUGUACGAUAGCACCACCUAUCGGAACCACGACAAAAACAUCUGUGUCUCCAAUUGCGUUUGAAUUCUCCAAACCCUUCCCUUUACUUUCUUGCAAGUUGCAUGCUUUACUUUCCGCUGCUCACAUACUCUUUGCAUACUUUCUUGAAUUGUGUGAAGAUUGCUUGACUUUUGCAAAGAUAGCUAAAAUCUGCCAAAGUCUAAAAUUGGGAAAAGGUUAAGUUUUUAAUUGGUCAAGUAGUCUAAUCACCCCCCCCCCCUCUAGACAUACUUCAAGGUCCUACAACGGCCUUGUGUUCGACCAGCCACAUUCGAAACAGGAUCAUGUUCAUCGGGAGGGGUUUGGCGUACCGCAAAACGGAGGAAACGGACUUGUGUUGAACCUCCUACAGUCGAAACGGGGUCCUGUUGAUCGGGAGGGGUGUGGCGUACCACAAAACAGAGGAAACGGACUUGUGUUGGAGCGCUACAGUCGAAACGAGGGUCCUGUUCAUCGGGAGGGGUGUGGCCUACCGCAAAACGGGACUCCACGGGAUACUGUUCAUCUCCACCGUCGACCUCCUCCAGCCUCCACGGGCUACUGUUCAUCCACCGUCAACCUCCUCCAGCCUCCACCUGCGACUUUUCAUCCACGGACUCUUGUUCAUCUAGCCUCCACCAUGUGCUACUCCACCGGCUACUAGUCAACCAGCCCUCUCCAUGGGCUCCUGUUCAACCACCCCUCCAUGGGCUACUGGUCAUCCACCCCUCCACCUUCUACUAUUCAUCCAUCCCUCCACGGGGUCGUCCUGUUCAUCCAGCCCUCCACGGGGUCCUGUUCAUCCAGCCCCAACCGGCUCGAUCGAUCGGGGUCAUGUUCAUCUAGAGGCAACACCACGAGGUCAUGUUCAUCCACCCCCACUACUCACUGUUUAUCCAAACCCCCCAGCAAUGCUCACUGUUCAUCCAGAGGCAGCAUCGAUCGGCUUCAGUUAGCAGCAGUAGCGAAGGAAUCGCUCGAUCGGGUUCAGUUAACAACCAUCGAUCGAUUGCUCGGGUUCAGUAACGUGUAGCUUGCAGUGCAAUCGCUUGGGUUUAGUAGUCGAACGCCUUGCUCGGGUUCAGUUAGAGCCCAACGCCUCGCACCCACGUGCGUGCGUGUAUGAGAGAAACGCACAAACCUCCGUGCAUCGCUCGGCCCCGACCACCCAUCGUAACCGGGAACACCCCGAUAUUUUCCUCGACCUCACUUCUACCACGGUUUUUUCCAUCAGGGACGGCCCAAAGACUGUCAUGCAGCUGCGUCUCCGGCCCGCCCAGGACGAAAAGCCUAUUUUCUGUCAUGAUUUUUUGUCAUAGAAGUAGGAGCCCACCACAUCUAUGAUGAUAUCGGGUUUUGUCACAAUUAUUGUCAUAGACGUGUCAUAAGUAUGACAGAAAAAAUUCGUUCAGCCCAAAAUGUCACGGAUGUGUCUUUUUUAUAUAGUGUGAAGUUUGCUAUAGCGAACUUGGCUGUGCACUGGUGAUCAACAGGGAAGAGCUAUGAGACAAAGAUGAUGUCUGCGGUGAUUAACUAAGGAAUGACUACAAUUGAGGGAGUUCCGGACUAGGGGGUGUCCGGAUAGCCGAACUAUCAUCAUCGGCCGGACUCCAAGACUAUGAAGAUACAAGAUUGAAGACUUCGUCCCGUGUCCGGAUGGGACUUUCCUUGGCGUGGAAGGCAAGCUUGGCGAUACGGAUAUGUAGAUCUCCUACCAUUGUAACCGACUUUGUGUAACCCUAGCCCUCUCCGGUGUCUAUAUAAACCGGAUGGCUUUAGUCCUUAGGACGAACAACAAUCAUACCAUAGGCUAGCUUCUAGGGUUUAGCCUCAUUGAUCUCGUGGUAGAUCCACUCUUGUAACACACAUCAUCAAUAUUAAUCAGGCAGGACGUAGGGUUUUACCUCCAUCAAGAGGGGCCGAACCUGGGUAAAACAUCGUGUCCCUUGUCUCCUGUUACCAUCCGCCUAGACGCAUAGUUCGGGACCCCCUACCCGAGAUCCGCCGGUUUUGACACCGACAUUGGUGCUUUCAUUGAGAGUUCCUCUGUGUCGUCACCGAUAGGCUCGAUGGCUUCUCCGACCGUCAUCAACGACGCAGUCCAGGGUGAGACCUUUCUUCCCGGACAGAUCUUUGUAUUCGACGGCUUUGCACUGCGGGCCAAUUCGCUUGGCCAUCUGGAGCAGAUCGAAAGCUACGCCCCUGGCCGUCAGGUCAGAUUUGGAAGUUUGAACUUCACGGCUGACAUCCGCGGGGACUUGAUCCUCGAUGGAUUCGAGCCACAGCCGAGCAUGCCGCACUGUCACGGCGAGCAUGAUUUAGCUCUGCAGCCGGACAGUACCCCGGAGGCCGCACUCGAACUCGCCCCGAUCUUCAAUUCGGAGCCGGCUGCGCAAAUCGAGGAUGGAUGGCUAGACACCGCCUCGAGGGCUGCAACCUCUACGGCGAUAGAGCCGAACACUGACCUUGUCCCUCAUAAAGCUCGUGACUCCAAGGCGCCGGACUCCUUGCCGGACUACGAACCUCCCGCGCCCCCUCCGAUCGAAUCCGACUGGGCGCCAAUCAUGGAGUUCACCGCAGCGGACAUCUUUCAACACUCACCUUUUGGCGACAUCUUGAGUUCGCUAAAAUGUCUCUCAUUAUCAGGAGAGCCCUGGCCAGACUGCGGUCAGGACCAUUGGGAUGCGGACGACGAAGAAAUUCAAAGCCCACCCACCACCCACUUGGUAGCCGAUGUCGACGAUUUAACCGACAUGCUAGACUACGACUUUGAAGACAUCGACGGUAUGGAUGACGAUGCCGGAGACGAACAAGAACCAGCGCCUACCGGGCACUGGAAAGCCACCUCAUCAUACGACAUAUACAUGGUGGAUAUCCCAAAGGAUGGGAAUGGCGGAGGAACAGAGGAGGAUGACCCCUCCAAGAAACAGCCCAAGCGCCGGCGUCAGCGGCGCCGGUCUAAAUCCCGCCACAGCAAGAAUGAAGAUUCCGGCACCGGAGAUAACAAUACACUGAAUAGUGCCGAAGACAACCCACUCCAGCAAGAUCCAGCGCAGGAGGAUGGAAACGCCAGCCCUCAUGAGAGAGCGGCAGAAGAAGAGGUAGAGGAUUAUAUGCCUCCCUCCGGAGACGAAGCAAGCCUCGACGAUGAUGAAUUCGUCGUGCCUGAGGAUCCCGUCGAACAAGAGCGUUUUAAACGCAGGCUUAUGGCCAUGGCAAACAGCCUCAAGAAAAAGCAGCAACAGCUUAGAGCUGAUCAAGAUCUGCUAGCCGACAGAUGGACUGAAGUCCUCGCGGCCGAAGAGCAUGAGCUCGAACGCCCCUCCAAAAGCUACCCUAAACGCAAGCUGCUCCCCCGAUUAGAGGAGGAAGCGUAUGAACCCGCAUCACCAGGAGACAAUAGGCUGACCGACCACUCCGUUGUCGCGACAGAGAGGCCUCUAGGCCCUUCACUAGACCCGUACUCUGGCACCGCUCGAAAAGCACAAGACCACAGGGGAACGCUCCGGACUUGCGAAAUAUAUUGGAGGAUAAGGCAAGACAAUCAAGAUCGAUUUAUGGAUCGUGUGGGCGUCCCACGGUACGUGACGACAACCGUCGCGCCGGACACAGUAAGUCCGGCCGGGCCGAACAAAAUAGACAAAGCUCUUUUGAGCUCCGUCAUGAUAUCGCCCAGUACAGAGGCACGGCACACCCACUAUGCUUCACAGAUAAAGUAAUGGAUCAUCAAAUCCCCGAAGGGUUUAAACCCGUGAAUAUCGAAUCUUACGAUGGCACAACAGACCCCACGGUUUGGAUCGAAGACUAUCUUCUUCACAUCCACAUGGCCCGCGGUGACGAUCUUCACGCCAUCAAAUAUCUCCCCCUCAAGCUUAAAGGACCAGCCCGGCAUUGGCUUAACAGCCUGCCAGUAGAGUCAAUUGGGAGUUGGGAAGACCUGGAAGCCGCAUUCCUCGAUAACUUCCAAGGCACGUAUGUGCGACCACCAGACGCUGAUGACCCAAGCCAUAUAACUUAGCAGCCAGACGAAUCGGCCAGACAAUUCUGGACACGGUUCUUAACCAAGAAAAACCAAAUCGUCGAUUGUCCGGAUGCGGAGGCUCUCGCAGCCUUCAAGCAUAACAUCCGCGAUGAGUGGCUUGCCCAGCACCUGGGACAGGAAAAGCCGAAAUCCAUGGCAGCCCUUACAUCACUCAUGACCCGCUUUUGCGCGGGUGAGGACAGCUGGCUAGCACGCAGCAACAACCUCAGCAAAAAUUCUAGCAGUCCGGAUUUCAAGGACCGGAAUGGCAGGUCGCGUCGUAACAAAAGCAAGCGCCGCAUUAACGGCGACAAUAGUGAGGAUACGGCAGUCAAUGCCGGAUUCAGAGGCUCCAAACCCGGUCAGCGGAACCAUUCAAAAGAACUGCUCCGGGUCCGUCCAAUUUGGACCGAAUACUCGACCGCUUGUGCCAGAUACACAGCACCCCCGAAAAGCUAGCUAACCACACCAAUAGGGACUGUUGGGUAUUCAAGCAGGCAGGCAAGUUAAUUGCCGAAAACAAUGACAAGGGGCUGCAUGGCGAUGACGAGGAAAAGACCCGACCGCCGAACAAUAGAGGACAGAAGGGUUUCCCCCCACAUGUGCGGAGGGUGAACAUGAUAUACGCAACGCACAUACCCAAAAGGGAGCGGAAGCAUGCACUCAGGGAUGUAUACGCGAUGGAGCCAGUCGCCCCGAAGUUCAAUCCAUGGUCCUCCUGCCCGAUCACUUUUGACCGAAGGGACCACCCCACCAGCAUCCGCCAUGGCGGAUUCGCCGCAUUGGUCUUAGACCCAAUCGUCGAUGGAUUUCACCUCACUAGAGUCCUGAUGGACGGCGGCAGCAGCCUGAACCUACUUUAUCAGGAUACAGUGCGCAAAAUGGGCAUAGACCCCUCAAGGAUUAAACCUACCAAGACGACCUUUAAAGGCAUCAUACCAGGUGUAGAAGCCAAUUGUACAGGCUCAGUUACACUGGAAGUGGUCUUUGGAUCCCCGGAUAACUUCCGCAACGAGGAGUUAAUCUUCGACAUAGUCCCAUUCCGCAACGGCUAUCAUGCCUUGCUCGGACGUACCGUGUUUGCAAAGUUCAACGCGGUGCCGCACUAUGCAUACCUCAAGCUCAAGAUGCCAGGCCCUAGAGGAGUCAUCACGGUCAACGGAAACACUGAACGUUCUCUCCGAACGGAGGAACAUACAGCGGCUCUCGCGGCAGAAGUACAAUGCAGCCUCUUAAGGCAAUUCUCGAGUCCGGCCAUUAAGCGGCCGGACAUAGCUAAGCGCGCCUGGAGUAACCUACAACAAGACCACCUGGCACGUUCCGAGCACGCGUAGCAGUGCGGCCCCAACCCCAGCCCCUAUAAAACGUCCAAACAGGUCCUUCGCGUACACCGUUCCGCUCUGAAGAUACCAUGGGCAUGGGGAGAGGGGCACGACCACAAUAAGCCCAGACUGCGGCUCAACCACACCAGGGGCUCGCAAGUGUGUCGUUCUUUUUUUUCUUUUUACCUUUUAUUUUUUACCCACAGGACUCCGUUCGUUAGAGGCCCUGUCCGGCAGCAGACCUGCCGAACUCACGAUGCAACAGCCAGGGAAGGAUACAGGCUACAACGAAUAUACAGGUGGUCUCCAUUACGAGCAUUUUUAUACACCAAUCCGCAGCCUACCCCUGGAGGGGGAUAUGUUUAACAGUCCGAUCCCUUGCUUAUCGCACUAUUUGUAUCGUUCUGCAUUCAUAGCAGCACUUAUUGAAUAAAACAAUGCAGCACCUUUCUGCUUAUAAUUGCAUUUCCCUUUCAUACAUAUGUUCAUUUACGACAUGUUGCAUCCGUACACUUUGGUACGGUUAACACACAGCAGGGGCUUAUGUUUCCCGCAUCAUGGUGUGAUAAGUCCGAACACUUUCACAAGUGCGGCACCCUGAACUUAUAGCAUUAUAUGCAUCGGCUCCGAAUCAUGUCUUGGGUCAAUAGUUGGGUUUGCCCGGCUCCCAUGUUUUGGUACCUUACGUUCCGUUAUAUCGGCUAAGGUAGCACUGGGAGAACCACUGCGAUUGCGCCCCGGUUGAGCUGGGUUAACGCCUCAGUGGAGAAAGCUAAAACUGACCGUCAUGAUGAGGCGAGAGCCGGUCACUGUUCGAGAGGUUUUUGCGAGUCCUUAAAGACUUAUGCCGCUUAGAGCGAGGAGCCGGAUCUUGUCCGGCCCAGGCGUGGAUAGCGCCCCAAAUUCGGCCUUCCGAAGACUAGGGGCUUCGCCGAAAUUUAAAAUUAUAGAAUUCUAUGGCUAAGUGAGAGUGUUCAAGCAUUAUAAGUCUGGUUGCCUUGUUCGUUGUGUUGAGCGCCUCCCUAGAUGGACCCAAAUAUGGGAACAAGAGCGCUCAAAUUUAUCCCAAACACCCCAGCACUCGUGGCGUGGGGGCUGAAGCCGACGACUUGCCAUCUCUCGGAUUUGAUAAACAGCCGCACAGAAGGUAAUAUUUUAAAUUAAAAAGCGUUGCUUAGCGCAAAUGAACUAAGUUUUCAGCGCACAUGAUAACAAAAUGCGAGUCUACUCAAAUAUUACAUCUUUGGAGCACUCACCCGCAAUAGUGCGGGCGCCCUUCAGCACACUCUUAUAAUACAUCUCGGGCGUGCAAUGCUCCUUGCCCUCUGGUGGUGGGUCUGUCACAAGCUUCUGGGCAUCCAUCUUGCCCUAGUGCACCUUUGUGCGGGCAAGGGCCCGACGGGCACCCUCAAUACAGGCGGAGUGCUUGAUGACUUCAACCCACGGGCACGCCUCCACCAGCCGCCGCACCAGGCCGAAGUAGCUCCCAGGCAUGGCCUCCUUAGGCCACAGCCGAACUAUGAGGCCCUUCAUGGCCUGUUCGGCCGCCUUGUGGAGCUCGACCAGCUACUUCAGCUGGUCGCUAAGGGGCACCGGAUGUCCGGCCUCAGCAUACUGAGACCAGAAGACCUUCUCCGUCAAGCUCCCCUCCUCGGCCCGGUAGAAUGCGGCAGCAUCGGACACGCUACGAGGAAGAUCUGCGAACGCUCCUGGAGAGCUCCGAAUUCGGGUAAGCAAUAGGUAAUGAACACUCACAUGCUUACUUUGCAUGAAAAAUGCCUUACUCGCUGCUAUUUUCUUCACCGCCUCAAUCUCCUGGAGGGCCGUGUAGGCUUCGGCCUUAGCGGCUUUGGCACUCUCAAGAGCCGUUGCAAGCUCGGACUCUCGAGUCUUCGAGUCAUGCUCCAGGCUCUCAUGUUUUUUCACGAGAUCCUGGAGCUCUUGUUGUACCUCCGCCACCCGCGCCUCCUGUUUCUCUCGCUCCGUGCACUCUGCGGCCACAUUUCGUUCGACCGCGGUCACCGCCUAUUUCAGGGUCGCCACCUCAUUAGUGGCCCCUGCAAUACCCACGUUAUCCUUGUCAUUCUUUUUGCAACCAAAAUCCUUUUUUGUAAGGUACAAUUUUAAUAAGGUGUUACUCACCUUCCUUAUCCUCGAGCUACUUCUUUGCACGGCCGAGCUUGUUCUCGGACCGCUCGAGGUUUUCCUUCAAAGUAUUGACCUCCGCAGUCAGUGCGGCAGAGGUCAGCAGCGCAGCCUGCAAUCCCAUAUUGAUAUAUUUUUUAUGACUCCUGCGUAUAUCUUUUUUAAGAUCCUCAGUCCGGCUUUUCUUUCCGAACACCGAACCGAGCAUCAGGGGCUACUGUCUAUGCGGUACCAUUUUAUACAUAUUGAAAUUCUUACCUCAAAGCCUGUUAGAAGGCUGCUGCAGGCUUCGGUCGUCCCACUCUUGGCGAGCUGCACCUUCUGAAUCACCGCACUCAUAACAGUGCAGUGUUCUUCUUCGAUGGAGGCGCCGUUGAGUGCCUCCAGCAAGUUAUCCGGCACCUCCGGUUGGACGGAGGAAGCCGGCGUCACGGUCUUGCCCUUCUUGCGAAGGGGUCGCCCGCCGGACUCCGGAGCCCCUGUGGGUUCCGGGGCCGAGUCCGGUGCAAAGUCCGGGAGGUUGUCCUGCGAUACCUCCAGGGCCCUCUCCUCCUGGUGGGUCCCUUCCUGGGAUCCCACCUCGGCAUCAUCCACAUUACGGGGGGUCGAGGCCGUCGGAAGAGAAUCCAUAUCCGACGCACCUAAGGACCCGCUCGACGAGGCGGGAAGAUCAUCCUUAGGCGGACUGCAGGGUUGUAUGCGGCAUUAGAAAAACAUUAUGUGGCGAAAAAUAAAAACCUUGAAGUUAUUCGGGAGUCCGAAUACUUACGAUCUCGCCAGGGGCUUGGCCCUUGGAGGCCAGUCCUCGUCGUCGUCACUAUCGUUGGCGGAGCAGUUCGAGGGAAGAGUUUUUCCCUUNNNNNNNNNNNNNNNNNNNNNNNNNNNNNNNNNNNNNNNNNNNNNNNNNNNNNNNNNNNNNNNNNNNNNNNNNNNNNNNNNNNNNNNNNNNNNNNNNNNNNNNNNNNNNNNNNNNNNNNNNNNNNNNNNNNNNNNNNNNNNNNNNNNNNNNNNNNNNNNNNNNNNNNNNNNNNNNNNNNNNNNNNNNNNNNNNNNNNNNNNNNNNNNNNNNNNNNNNNNNNNNNNNNNNNNNNNNNNNNNNNNNNNNNNNNNNNNNNNNNNNNNNNNNNNNNNNNNNNNNNNNNNNNNNNNNNNNNNNNNNNNNNNNNNNNNNNNNNNNNNNNNNAGUCCCUGUGGCCUUCUUCUUGGCCUUCUUCUCCGGCACCACAUGGGGUGCCAGAGCCAGCAGCCCCGUUAGGCGGGCGUCCACUGGGUCCUCUGGCAAUGGGGCCGGACAGAUAGUCCGUUUGGCCUUCGCCAGCCAUUCCUGUCAAAGGUAAAGGGAGUUUAGAUCCUGCAUAGAGUCAAACUAUGGAAAACAAGCGGUGAAAUCACCUACCUCGUCGGCUGGACGCUGCGAGCGGAAUCCGCGAUCUUCAGUAGCGGAUGCAGGAGCUUCGGCGCCCUUGAACAGCACCUUCCAGACAUCUUCGUAUGUAGUGUCGAAGAGCCCGCUCAGGGUCUGGUGCUGCGCCGGAUCAAACUCCCACAUGUUGAAGCCCCGUCGUUGGCACGGGAGAAUCCGGCGAUGAGCAUGACCUGGACUAUGUUGACAAGCUUGAGCUUCUUGUCCACCAGCUUCUGGAUACAGGCUUGGAGUCCGGUCAACUCCUCCGAAUCCCCCCAGAUCCGGCCGCUCUCUUUCCAGGAGGUGAGCCGUGUAGGGAUGCCGGAUCUGAAUUCGGGGGCCGCUGCCCAAUCAGGGUCACGCGGCUCGGUGAUGUAGAACCACCCCGAUUGCCACCCCUUGAUGGUUUCUACGAAAGUGCCCUCCAGCCACGUAACGUGGGACAUCCUGCCCACCAUGGCGCCUCCGCACUCCGCUUGGCUGCCCUUCACAACCUUCGGCUUGACACUGAAGGUCUUGAGCCACAAGCCGAAGUGGGGCUGGAUGCAGAGGAAGGCCUCACACACGACGAUAAAUGCCGAGAUGUUGAGGAUGAAAUUCGGGGCCAGAUCAUGGAAAUCUAGGCCGUAGUACAACAUGAGCCCCCAGACAAAGGGAUGAAGUGGGAAGCCCAGUCCAUGAAGGAAAUGGGGGAGAAAUACUACCCUCUCAUGGGGCCUGGGGGUGGGGAUGAGCUCUCCCUCGUCGGGGAGCCGAUGCGCGAUGUCGCUGGACAAGUAUCCGGCGUUGCGCAGCUUCUGGAUCUGCCCCUCCGUGACGGAGGAGGCCAUCCACUUGCCUCCCGCUCCGGACAUAGUUGGAGAAGGUUGAGGUGAGAAGUGCGGACUUGGGCGCUGGAGCUCGAGUUCGCGGAGAUGGAUAAGCCAAGGAGGAAGAAGGCGCAGGUAAAAGGAGCGGAUCUUUAUCCCCUUAUAUGGGCGGACAAAAACAUGUGUCCCCACCGGCCUGGUAAAACUCGCUUAUCUCCCAAGCAUCACAAUCAAUGGCGCGGUUGGGUUACCCACGUCCGUAUUGAUGGGAAUCCCGGAAUAAGGGGAACACGAUCUCUACUUCGACAAGACGUGCCAAGGAAACCGCCUCGCUAAACAUGCGGAGGUGGAACAAUAAAAACAAUUCGAGUAAAGGCUUGGUAAUGGUGUGAUGUCAUGCCACAAAAUACGUCAGCAGAUUGAACUUGUGUGAUAUUAUUCUCUCUACGGUGGUAUGUGGAAUUUAUUUUGCAGAGUCGGACACUAUCCUGGUGUUCACAAUCUUCUAUAUGUUAUUCGGAGGAAGAACCCGCCUUGCAAUGCCGAAGACAACAUGCGCGCCGGACUCGUCGUCAUUGAAGCCUGGUUCAGGGGCUACUGAGGGAGUUCCGGACUAGGGGGUGUCCGGAUAGCCGAACUAUCAUCAUCGGCCGGACUCCAAGACUAUGAAGAUACAAGAUUGAAGACUUCGUCCCGUGUCCGGAUGGGACUUUCCUUGGCAUGGAAGGCAAGCUUGGCGAUACGGAUAUGUAGAUCUCCUACCAUUGUAACCGACUCUGUGUAACCCUAGCCCUCUCCGGUGUCUAUAUAAACCGGAUGGCUUUAGUCCUUAGGACGAACAACAAUCAUACCAUAGGCUAGCUUCUAGGGUUUGGCCUCAUUGAUCUCGUGGUAGAUCCACUCUUGUAACACACAUCAUCAAUAUUAAUCAGGCAGGACGUAGGGUUUUACCUCCAUCAAGAGGGCCCAAACCUGGGUAAAACAUCGUGUCCCUUGUCUCCUGUUACCAUCUGCCUAGACGCACAGUUCGGGACCCCCUACCCGAGAUCCGCCGCUUUUGACACCGACAACAAUCCUGCUAAAUUUGAGGAGAAGUGGAGCUCAAAACAACAUAGUUGCUUUGUAAGUGUAAAUUUGGUCCAGAAAAUGGAUUUGGAUGAUGCACUCACAUAGAGAAGCAACUUGGAAUCAAAUUUGGCAAUGCAGGGUUAUUUGGCUAUAUAAAGAUGCUGUAAAAAUUUCAUACCAAAUGGACUUGCCAAAAUGGUACUUGCUUCACAAACAUCCUCGCUGACCAGAAAAUUGCAAAAAUUUUGGAGGGAAAAUGGCUUAAGGAAAUGAUCCCAAAUUUGGGGGAGAGAUGUUAUUUGGGUAGGAGCAUUGUAACAUCCCAAAUUUUCAAUUUGGAAUGUUAUACAUUAGAUCAUCAUUCCAUAUCAUAUUUUAUUGCAUUUUGGCUUGAUCUUAGAAAUUCUACGCAACUCAAGGACCCGCGAAGAGAGUUGGGGAUUUCGUUAUUUUCAUAUUUGAGUUUUCUCAAAUUUUGAAAAGAGGACCAUUUGAUUUUAAUUAUUUUCUAUUCGAAUAUUUCUUUUAUAAAAAUAAAAUAGAGGGGAUAAAAUGACUUUCCCAAAAUAAAGAAAUAUUGGCGAUUUAAUAUUAAAAUCAAAUAAGAGUUUUAUUCGGAGUUUUAUUCCUAUUUUAUUUGAAUUAGGAAAAAUAUGCGUUUCUCAUAAUUGCAUUAGAGGCCCAAAUAAAUGUUCACUUUGUCCGCUGUAUUCUUAGAGGACGGGGAAAAUUUAUUUUAGGAUUUUUGGAGUCCCUUUAGUAUUUCUUUUAUUUGUCUUUUCGCGCGCGGAAUUAUUUAAAAAAAAGUUACCGACCUAACGGGCCGUGUCCGACCCGGACACUCCAGCCCGGCCGGACUUUAAGAGGCGAGGCCCGAGCCGCCCCAAACCCUAGCCGCCAGCCCCUAAUCCACUGCCGCCGCCAGCCUCCGCCGCCGCCGCCGCCUCUCGCCCGCGCCGCCGAUCCUCCAGCCACCCGCCGCCGCCGGCGGCCAUCACCAGAGUCGCCGUCGUCUCGCCGCCCACCGACCCCGCCGACGAGGUAGUCGCCGGAUCUGCCACCGGUUUUCUCUAGAAAACUGUGCGGUUUCUUUUUAGAACCGCGGUUGAUUUUUUUAUUUUUAGAUCGGUUUUAUUUUAUUUAUUUUUUCUGGUUUAGUUAUUUAGCGAACGCCCGUUUGUUAGUUUGUUUUAACGAACGGUUUUCACCCGUUAGCCGCAGACAGCGAAUGUUCGUUCGCUAGCCUGUUCGUCAGUUUUUCUUUUUUCAGGGUUUUCCCGCGAUUAUUUUCGAUCGCGAUUUCUGUCCUGAUUUUCGUUUUAGUUUAUCUUUUCGCUUGUUUAUCGAAAUCAGGCGAUUCAAGCGCCUAGAGUUUCAUCUCGAAGCCCUCUUUCUAUUUAACCAACUUAAACAAGAUUUUGCUACUUAAAAUUUGACUUAAGUCCAAAUUAGUAAACAGAGCUUGUUUCUUUCAUUGAAGUUUCGUUGCUUCGUUUGAUUUGAUUCUUUUUGCAAAGCAAAGUUCUUAAGUUGAACUUUCUGGUAGAUCUCUUAUUUGAAUUUUACCCAUGCUUCUAGUUGAGUGCUUAUUGUAUGCUUUUUUAUUGCGAUAGAGUACCCAGAGUGCGAAGCGUGCUACUACGAGUCUCUAGGUUUCACGUAUCAUCAGCAAGGCAAGUAACACUUUGAUCAUACCUCUUUACUACCCAGUUUUAUUGCAUUAGAUCAAUCCUCAAACAAUUGCAUGGUUAGGAUUUGAUUUUAACAUGUGGUUUUUGGGAAGUAGAUGAGGUAGUACCUAUUGUCCUGUUUAUUAUCAAACCUUUGGGGGUUACUUCUACGUUGCUUAUAUUGCUAUGCUAUGCUUGUAGACGUGGAUUGGGUGAGUGUAUCCAUGACAGAUAUGAGUAUUGUUAUUUAAUGGUUUAACUUAAGAUGGCUACUUAAAUAGACAUCUGGGUGGAUUGAGGCACCUGGGGAACCCAGUGUUGCCUGUUUUUUUGGAAAUCUCGGAGUUACGGUGUGAUUAUCCUAUGGACUGCCACCCAGGCUCAAAGGGAUUAUAAGAUUAUUCAUGCUAGAAACUUCCGUGUGCAGCCACAAGCUAUUGUGGGCUCUAGCAUAGUUGAGUAAGUUGCAAGACCUCUUUCAGUGGUGGGCUAGCAGAUGUUGGGGAAAAUAGGUGUAACUGUCCACCCAGAGUAAAGAGUUAUUGUUUUAGAAAGACUGUGUCUCGAUUCUCCGAUCAUGGAUGUAUUCGAGUCUUGUGGGGAAAAGAGCACAAACCUCUGUAGAGUGUAUAAACUAAUCAUGGUUAGCCGUGUCCCCGGUUAUGACAGUUUUGAGUAUCUAGUUCUUGGAUUAUCAUGUUGAUCUCAUCACUCUUAAUUUAAUUUGAUUGGGUUUAAUGAUGAUGCUUAAUUGGGAUUGAGUUGGAGGAACCUUCACAAUGUUUAACAACCACCAUGAUAGUUAAAUAAAGUUAUUCCUUUGUUGUAGGGGAAAAUUGGCUUUAUGCAAAAUAAUAAUCAUAGAGCUUUCCACCAGCCAUAUAUGCAUGUAGUGAUAGCAAUUAUUUAUGUUCAUUACUCUAUGUGUUACAUUGCCAGCAUAUUCCAUGUGCUGACCCGUUUCGGGCUGCAACGUUCAUGUUGCAGACUUUUCGGACGACGAGUAAGGUGCCUUAGGUCGUGAUCUUUCACUCAGUCAUGCUGUUGGAUUUGAUGGACUCACUUUAUCUUCCAAGCCUUCUGUUGUUAUCGAUUUUAGAUCGACG